This 355-nucleotide long non-coding RNA is filed under the name Capsicum annuum. Its description in RNAcentral is "long non-coding RNA (CANN_LNC003483)". Lineage: Eukaryota; Viridiplantae; Streptophyta; Magnoliopsida; Solanales; Solanaceae. The record is from RNAcentral.
GGCAAAGGUAGGUUGGGUAGGCAAGAUGUAGGAUUUGUGAUUGUUGAAUGGUGAAAUGUUUGUGGAAUGGUUUUGAUUUAUACAUUGACAUCUAUUGUAUUAAUUUGGCCGGGGAAUGCCCCCAAGUAUCUGUAUAUAUUUAUUCACCGGGGAAUGCCCCGAGGUACCUUGUACUUGGAAGAUGUUUGUGGUGAAGGCCCGAGGCGUCGGGUGAAGCGGUAGAGCGUAGUCUAGAGUAGACUAGAUUUAUAUUUCCGCAUUAUUUAUUUUUGAACUGUAUAAUUGGACUGGACUUUUACAUUUUUGGAUUGUUUUGUUUUGUCUACUGUUUUGAUUAUUUUGCGUGCUUUUGUGU